This 246-nucleotide long non-coding RNA is filed under the name Elaeis guineensis (African oil palm). RNAcentral's name for it is "long non-coding RNA (EGUI_LNC029853)". Lineage: Eukaryota; Viridiplantae; Streptophyta; Magnoliopsida; Arecales; Arecaceae. The record is from RNAcentral.
UGAGGAUGGUCAGUUUGAAUCUAAAAAUGAGAGGAGGGUAAAGCAUACUUGCUACAAUCCAAAGUGUGACUGUAGGGAUGUGAAGUUUAAACUAGGAAUGAAGUUUGAGGGUCCUAAAGAAUUUAAAGAUGCUGUUGAGAGAUAUGCUAUGAUAAAUGGAUACAAUAUUAGAUGAAAAAGAAGUGGUGAGAAAAAGAUGGAGCUCAAAUGUGUGGACAAGUAUCUUUGAAAAAUAUAUGCAAGCUG